RNAcentral lists this ribosomal RNA (495 nucleotides) under uncultured bacterium. RNAcentral describes it as "bacterial SSU rRNA". It matches the Rfam family "Bacterial small subunit ribosomal RNA", at positions 8 to 526 of the family's 1533-position model. The record is from RNAcentral.
AGAGUUUGAUCAUGGCUCAGAACGAACGCUGGCGGCAGGCUUAACACAUGCAAGUCGAACGCCCCGCAAGGGGAGUGGCAGACGGGUGAGUAACGCGUGGGAAUCUACCUAGUUCUACGGAACAACUGAGGGAAACUUCAGCUAAUACCGUAUACGCCCUACGGGGGAAAGAUUUAUCGGAAUUAGAUGAGCCCGCGUAAGAUUAGCUAGUUGGUGGGGUAAUGGCCUACCAAGGCGACGAUCUUUAGCUGGUCUGAGAGGAUGAUCAGCCACACUGGGACUGAGACACGGCCCAGACUCCUACGGGAGGCAGCAGUGGGGAAUCUUGCGCAAUGGGCGAGAGCCUGACGCAGCAACGCCGCGUGGAGGAUGAAGGUCUUUGGAUUGUAAACUCCUGUCAGCGGGGAAAAAGGGACUGUGGUUAAUACCCAUGGAACUUGAUUGUACCCGCAGAGGAAGCCCCGGCUAACUCUGUGCCAGCAGCGGCGGUAAUAC